This 309-nucleotide ribosomal RNA is filed under the name uncultured eukaryote. RNAcentral's name for it is "partial 18S ribosomal RNA". It matches the Rfam family "Eukaryotic small subunit ribosomal RNA", at positions 1470 to 1796 of the family's 1831-position model. The record is from RNAcentral.
CCCUUAGAUGUUCUGGGCGGCCCGCGCACUACAUUGGCACUCUCAAUAAGUUCCUAGAUCUAAAACUUUGGGGUAUUCUAUUAAGUGGUGUCGUGACUGGGAUUAACCCUUGCAAUUAUUGGUUACGAACGAGGAAUUCCUUGUAAUCGCGGUUUAUCAGCCCGCGUUGAAUGCGUCCCUGCCCUUUGUACGCACCGCCCGUCGCUCCUACCGAUGAAUCGUCCGGUGAAGUUCAUGGAGUGGUGGUUGUUCCAGCUGCUGUCGAAGUGAAAUGGACCUCACGAUUUAGAGGAAGGAGAAGUCGUAACA